Molecule: ribosomal RNA, 253 nt
Filed under: uncultured bacterium
Lineage: Bacteria
Description: partial 16S ribosomal RNA
Rfam family: Bacterial small subunit ribosomal RNA
Source: RNAcentral
UACGUGGGGGGCCAGCGUUGUCCGGAUUCAUUGGGCGUAAAGCGCGUGUAGGCGGCCAGGUAGGUCCGAUGUGAAAUCUGGAGGCUCAACCUCCAGCGGUCAUUGGAAACCAUCUGGCUAGAGUCCGGAAGAGGAGAGUGGAAUUCCUGGUGUAGCGGUGAAAUGCGCAGAUAUCAGGAAGAACACCAAUGGCGAAGGCAGCUCUCUGGGACGGUACUGACGCUGAGACGCGAAAGCGUGGGGAGCGAACAGG